This is a long non-coding RNA of Hippocampus zosterae (dwarf seahorse), 1039 nucleotides long. RefSeq lists it as uncharacterized. The transcript has 2 exons. The record is from RefSeq and is a predicted model, not a curated record. NCBI's taxonomy places the organism in Eukaryota, Metazoa, Chordata, Actinopteri, Syngnathiformes, Syngnathidae.
AGUGCAUUAGAAUUCAUCCAUUUUCCAAUCCGCUUUAUCCUCACAAGGGUCGCGGGCGGUGCUGGAGCCUGUCUUCGGACUGUCGGCGGGGGACACCCGAACCGGUUGCCAGCCUAUAAAAAAGGGCCCCCCAAGACUGGAAGUGACUUCAUCAAGAUCAAAGUGGGCAGGUGUGGUUGGUGGAAGUGACAACCUCCCUCUAUUUUGAUUGACGGUGAAGUUAUCACUUUUAUAUUUUACAUGUUUAGCUUAAAACUAUGUAUCGUAGACAGACUUUUGACUAUAAACAGAGUCUAGCGAUAUGACCGCUAGUUGAACCUUAUGAGGUGACCUUAAUUUGAACUGCCUUGGCAACAUAAAAUACUGUUUACACCUUUCGUGAACAUAGACCACACAAGUACGUAAGCGCGUCUGGUGGCUAGUUUGCGGUUUCCCACCUACAGCUGUGUUCCAUCCAGAACAACAAGAUAACUUCUGAGAAAUGUCAGAGAGGGAUGGAAAAGACACCAAGGACAUUCAAACCGUCAUCCCGAAACAGAAACAGAAAAGGUGAUGCCCAAAACAGGAAAAUAUGAUACCCAUAAGGAGUGUUGAGGAGGCAAUUUGUCAAUUUGCUCUUGGCCCUCCUUGGACACCGGUUCUUUUAUCUCUCUAUAAGGUGGAAGAAGACCCAACACCACGUCGUCUUUUCUUCAGUUUAUCACAACGGAACAUGAAUCGAUUCGGGCUCCAGUGAGUGUCAGAUUUCAUCAGGAAGCCCCGAACAACCACAGUUACACGUAUAUAUAGGCAUGGUAUGUUAAUUAUGUUAAUAAGGGGCGGGCAGUCCUUCCCCUUAUGUAAAAAUCAGACACAAAGAAAGUCAAGCAAAGUUCGAUCUUGACAUGAUGACAAAGUACAGGCCGUAUCUGCUGGCCACAAAUUUUGAGAUUAGGGUUCCUCUUCGAGGGCACUCGACACCCUUCAGGGACUUUUACGAGGUGGUGGAGGCAAGAAAACCCUCGGGGGGCUGUUAAUCAUUCAAGGGGAGAUAUGACCC